Molecule: ribosomal RNA, 355 nt
Filed under: uncultured Desulfovibrionaceae bacterium
Lineage: Bacteria; Pseudomonadati; Thermodesulfobacteriota; Desulfovibrionia; Desulfovibrionales; Desulfovibrionaceae
Description: bacterial SSU rRNA
Rfam family: Bacterial small subunit ribosomal RNA
Source: RNAcentral
AGAGUUUGAUCAUGGCUCAGAUUGAACGCUGGCGGCGUGCUUAACACAUGCAAGUCGAACGUGAAAGGGGCUUCGGCCCUAAGUAAAGUGGCGCACGGGUGAGUAACACGUGGAUAAUCUGCCCUUAUGAUCGGGAUAACAGUCGGAAACGGCUGCUAAUACCGGAUACGCUCAAAAUGAACUUUUUGAGGAAAGGUGACCUCUGCUUGCAAGUUACUGCAUGAGGAUGAGUCCGCGGCCCAUUAGCUAGUUGGUAGGGUAACGGCCUACCAAGGCAACGAUGGGUAGCCGAUUUGAGAGGAUGAUCGGCCACACUGGGACUGAAACACGGCCCAGACUCCUACGGGAGGCAGCA